RNAcentral lists this long non-coding RNA (205 nucleotides) under Lathyrus oleraceus (garden pea). RNAcentral's name for it is "Pisum sativum (pea) long non-coding RNA (PSAT_LNC004671)". Lineage: Eukaryota; Viridiplantae; Streptophyta; Magnoliopsida; Fabales; Fabaceae. The record is from RNAcentral.
UUCAUCCCUGUUGAUGACAAUUACUCUUUGGUGGUUAUCAUUAUCCAAUAUUCGGUAUUGAUAUUCCCUCUUUUUGUGGAUAAUUGCUCCGAGCAAGCAAUUCUAUCCCCCAGUGGGUCCUUUCACCGUUUGUCAGUGAUAUGUUCCUAGGAUCAUUGAUUUUUUAUCAAUAUCCCUUGCGAGUCAUCUUUCAUCUACCCUUUUG